UAAUACGGAGGAUCCAAGCGUUAUCCGGAAUCAUUGGGUUUAAAGGGUCCGUAGGCGGUUUUAUAAGUCAGUGGUGAAAUCCGGCAGCUUAACUGUCGAACGGCCAUUGAUACUGUAGAACUUGAAUUAUUGUGAAGUAACUAGAAUAUGUAGUGUAGCGGUGAAAUGCUUAGAUAUUACAUGGAAUACCCAUUGCGAAGGCAGGUUACUAACAAUAUAUUGACGCUGAUGGACGAAAGCGUGGGGAGCGAACAGGAUUAGAUACCCUGGUAGUCCACGCCGUAAACGAUGGAUACUAGCUGUUUGGUUGUAAGACUGAGUGGCUAAGCGAAAGUGAUAAGUAUCCCACCUGGGGAGUACGGGCGCAAGCCUG
Molecule: ribosomal RNA, 373 nt
Filed under: uncultured bacterium
Lineage: Bacteria
Description: bacterial SSU rRNA
Rfam family: Bacterial small subunit ribosomal RNA
Source: RNAcentral